ACGGGAGGCAGCAGUGGGGAAUAUUGCACAAUGGGCGCAAGCCUGAUGCAGCGAUGCCGCGUGAGGGAAGAAGGUUUUCGGAUUGUAAACCUCUGUCAUCGGGGACGAUAAUGACUGUACCCGAGAAGGAAGCUCCGGCUAACUACGUGCCAGCAGCCGCGGUAAUACGUAGGGAGCGAGCGUUAUCCGGAAUUACUGGGUGUAAAGGGAGUGUAGGCGGGACUGUAAGUCAGAUGUGAAAUAUGCCGGCUCAACUGGCAGACUGCAUUUGAAACUGCGGUUCUUGAGUGAAGUAGAGGUAAGCGGAAUUCCCAGUGUAGCGGUGAAAUGCGUAGAGAUUGGGAGGAACACCAGUGGCGAAGGCGGCCUGCUGGGCUUAAACUGACGCUGAGGCACGAAAGCAUGGGUAGCAAACAGGAUUAGAUACCCUGGUA
RNAcentral lists this ribosomal RNA (434 nucleotides) under uncultured Ruminococcus sp. Its description in RNAcentral is "partial 16S ribosomal RNA". It matches the Rfam family "Bacterial small subunit ribosomal RNA", at positions 341 to 792 of the family's 1533-position model. Lineage: Bacteria; Bacillati; Bacillota; Clostridia; Eubacteriales; Oscillospiraceae. The record is from RNAcentral.